This is a small nucleolar RNA of Dioscorea cayenensis subsp. rotundata (Guinea yam), 139 nucleotides long. RefSeq annotates it as small nucleolar RNA Z247. The record is from RefSeq and is a predicted model, not a curated record. The transcript has a single exon. Lineage: Eukaryota; Viridiplantae; Streptophyta; Magnoliopsida; Dioscoreales; Dioscoreaceae.
CCUCUUUCAGAGGAAGAAAUAGUGUCUUAUAUGUUGGCAGGACUUAGCUAAGAAUAUGAUCCUCUUGUCACAAGCAUCACAACUCUCACUGAUCCUAUCACUAUGAGUGAUCUUUAUGCUCACUUAUUGAGUUUUGAGU